RNAcentral lists this ribosomal RNA (465 nucleotides) under Vreelandella stevensii. RNAcentral's name for it is "partial 16S ribosomal RNA". It matches the Rfam family "Bacterial small subunit ribosomal RNA", at positions 338 to 795 of the family's 1533-position model. Lineage: Bacteria; Pseudomonadati; Pseudomonadota; Gammaproteobacteria; Oceanospirillales; Halomonadaceae. The record is from RNAcentral.
CCUACGGGGGGCAGCAGAGGGGAAUAUUGGACAAUGGGGGGAACCCUGAUCCAGCCAUGCCGCGUGUGUGAAGAAGGCCCUCGGGUUGUAAAGCACUUUCAGUGAGGAAGAACGCCUGGUGGUUAAUACCCAUCAGGAAAGACAUCACUCACAGAAGAAGCACCGGCUAACUCCGUGCCAGCAGCCGCGGUAAUACGGAGGGUGCGAGCGUUAAUCGGAAUUACUGGGCGUAAAGCGCGCGUAGGUGGCUUGAUAAGCCGGUUGUGAAAGCCCCGGGCUCAACCUGGGAACGGCAUCCGGAACUGUCAAGCUAGAGUGCAGGAGAGGAAGGUAGAAUUCCCGGUGUAGCGGUGAAAUGCGUAGAGAUCGGGAGGAAUACCAGUGGCCAAGGCGGCCUUCUGGACUGACACUGACACUGAGGUGCGAAAGCGUGGGUAGCAAACAGGAUUAGAUACCCGAGUAGUC